Molecule: ribosomal RNA, 416 nt
Filed under: uncultured bacterium
Lineage: Bacteria
Description: bacterial SSU rRNA
Rfam family: Bacterial small subunit ribosomal RNA
Source: RNAcentral
UGAGGAAUAUUGGGCAAUGCCCGCAAGGGUGACCCAGCAACGCCGCGUGGAGGAUGAAUGUCGUAAGAUUGUAAACUCCUGUUAGAGGGGAAGAAUAGUACCGGUUGGACCGGUAUAUGACUGUACCCUCAGAGAAAGCCCCGGCUAACUACGUGCCAGCAGCCGCGGUAAUACGUAGGGGGCAAGCGUUGUCCGGAUUUACUGGGUGUAAAGGGCGCGCAGGCGGGAUAAAAAGUCAGUGGUGAAAUCCUACAGCUUAACUGUAGAACUGCCUUUGAUACUUUUAUGCGUGAGUUCGGGAGAGAGAGACGGAAUGCCAGGUGUAGUGGUGAAAUACGUAGAUAUCUGGAAGAACACCAGUUGCGAAGGCGGUCUCUUGGUCCGACACUGACGCUGAGGCGCGAAAGCGUGGGGAG